GACGAACGCUGGCGGCGUGCCUAAUACAUGCAAGUGGGACGCAAGGAAACACACUGUGCUUGCACACCGUGUUUUCUUGAGUCGCGAACGGGUGAGUAACGCGUAGGUAACCUGCCUAUUAGCGGGGGAUAACUAUUGGAAACGAUAGCUAAUACCGCAUAAUAUUAAUUAUUGCAUGAUAAUUGAUUGAAAGAUGCAAGCGCAUCACUAGUAGAUGGACCUGCGUUGUAUUAGCUAGUUGGUAAGGUAAGAGCUUACCAAGGCGACGAUACAUAGCCGACCUGAGAGGGUGAUCGGCCACACUGGGACUGAGACACGGCCCAGACGCCUACGGGAGGCAGCAGUAGGGAAUCUUCGGCAAUGGACGAAAGUCUGACCGAGCAACGCCGCGUGAGUGAAGAAGGUUGUCGGAUCGUAAAGCUCUGUUGUAAGUCAAGAACGUGUGUGAGAGUGGAAAGUUCACACAGUGACGGUAGCUUACCAGAAAGGGACGGCUAACUACGUG
RNAcentral lists this ribosomal RNA (505 nucleotides) under uncultured bacterium. Its description in RNAcentral is "partial 16S ribosomal RNA". It matches the Rfam family "Bacterial small subunit ribosomal RNA", at positions 28 to 507 of the family's 1533-position model. The record is from RNAcentral.